GAACACCUUCCGGGCAAUGAAAUGUCUAGAGUUCUAAUCUAAAAUGGCCAACUCUAGAUUAUAAGAUCACUCAAUCAAGCAAGGAAAUAUAUUAAUCUACUCUAAAAUAUUCUAGAUCAUCACUUAAUCAUCCUAAUCAUCCUAGCCCAUGAAUCCAAAGAUGACUACUCACUCAUUAUCAUGGUAGACACUAAAUCAUUAGUUGAUCCAGAUCUAAACAUGAUUAAUGGUCAAAGUAGUCAAGCAAAGAUAAUAAAUUAUGAUCAAGAUUAGAUCUUUCACCCAAAAGUGGCUUUUUAUUAGAUAGAAAACAAAAUAAAUCCUAAUUUUAGGUUUAGAGAGUAUUUAUAGGACUUCUAAAAACCUAGUGGGCUCGGUCAAUAAAUCUGAGAAAGCCCAACAAAACAUAAAAACUCGAGUAAGUGGUAAAAGGCGAGCGGGUUGCUCAAGUCGCUCCGGCAGGUCGCUUUGUCUGGCAGCGGCUUCCAGGCCCCGCUCCAUGAGGUCGCUCUGGAUGUCGUCCGUUACACCAAGGAAUGCCGAGCGGGUUCGUCAUUCCGCUCUAGAUGGUCGCUCUGGAUUGCAGCGGGUUGGUUACCCCGCAACGGAGGGUCGCUCCAGCUCCUUGCUCCGUGUCUUCAAAGAAUGGCGAGCGGGUUCUUCUACCCGCUCCGGCUGGCCGCUCCAUGUUGUUCUAUGUAGAGCGGGUGCUCUAGGUUGCUGCGAGAGCCCGCUCUAAUACUCAACUCGUCCAAUGAUCAUAAUUCACCCCCUUUUUGGACCACAAUGUCUCCAAACUCCUCCAAAAACUCCAAAGGAUACUCCAACACCUAAUAAAGACUUAUGUAUGCAAAUGAAACCUAAAGAUGCCUAAAUACUAAUCUAAAUGAUUCAAAAUAUGCAAGAAUAAAUGACUAAAACAAUGCAAAUAUGCAAGAUAUCAAAACACACAUGCUAUCUAGGAUAGCUUAUAGUAUUUUUAGGAUGAGUUUCCAGAAAAUAAAAUGAGUAAGCAUAAUCCUUCACUUACUAAGUAAAGAAAUAUAAUCCAUUGAUUUUUAUUUAAUUUAAAAAUAAAAAACCGAUACGAUUCUAAGAGGAAUCGAAUGCGGGUUGAAACAAAUGUUUUAUUAAGUUUCGUACGAGAGGGGGUUUUGCCGCUAAGCCGAGGAGAAUCAUUUGGUAGUAGCUAAAACAUAAAUGUAUUUAACCGUAAAUUUUAUAUAAUAAAUGUUGGAAAGAAUUUGAAAUUUCUGGAUGAGUUUUCAGAAUAGUCGAAUAUCAGUGUGUUUCUUUCUAGCAAAGAAGUUUAAACUAAAAAUAAAUAAAUGAGAUCAAAAACUAAGGAUUGAUAUCUGCAUAUUUGGGAAAUUUCAAAUUGUGAUUUGGAAUUUUGGAGAAAAAAGAGAACAAAUAUACAUAUACCAAGAUUGGAACCCGAGAUCUCUGGGAAAGGGGGAAUAAAGUGUGGCCUAAGCCACUAGACCAAGUGUGUUUCAAUUGUUUGUUGAUGUAAGUAAAGGAGUAUAAUCAUUGAGUUUUAUUCAAUUAAAAAAUAAAAAAUCUAUAUGAUUCCAAAGGGAAUCGAACGCGGGUUGAGGCAUGUGUUUUAUUAUGUUUUGUAUGAGAGGGGUUUUAGCCGCUAGGUUGAGGAGAAUCAUCUGGUAGUAGCUAAAACAUAAAUUUAUUUGACCGUAAAUUUUAUAUUAUAAAUGUUGGAAAUAAUUUUGGAAUUUCUGGAUGGUUUUCCAGAUGAUUGAAUAUCAGUGUGUUUCUUUCUAGUAAAGAAGUUUAAAUUAAAAAAUGAAAUGAGAUCAAAAACUAAGGGGUGAUGUCUGCAUAUUUGGGAAAUUUCAAAUUGUGAUUUGGAAUUUUGAGAAAAAAAUGCAGUUAAACUUAAAUUGUAUGUUACAAAAGUUGGAAAGCAUCCAACUUAUCCAGGAUAGGCUUCCAAAAAAAUAAAUAUAUGUGGUCUACUUAAAUCAAGAAGGCUAUCCUGAUUAUGUACAAAAGCUUCCAAAAAGUUUUGGUAUAUGCUCAUGCACAUAUUUCUUAACCACAAAAAAAAUCUGAACAAGAUGAAGUCAAUCCAAAUGAUGCAAAUGAAACUCAGAGAUGUUGGAAGAGCACCAGAUGAAUUUUCUAGUAGUUUAGGAAGCUUUUGCACAUAUUCGUGAUUGUCUUCAUGAUUUUUUUAACAGGAGAAUGUACAAGUUGUGGAUGACACAAAUCACUCUCCAAUGUCUCCACCAAAUGCUGAUGAAAAUCAGAAAACUGAAUCUCAGCCAUUGACAGAAAAUCAAGUUAUUACUCUUAAUGUGAUACAACACUGGCACAGGGCAAUCAUAUGAGACGCCAUUAAAUCUAAAUCGAGGAAGAAAAAAACUUAGCGAUGAGACUGAUACGAAGAUCUUGGAAGAGACUCCAGAUGAAGCCAAUCAAAUACACAAAAUCUUCUAACUUAAGCAAAUCUUCAUAUCGAAGAUCUUCUUCUAAGUUAAUAAACGAUGCAGUCAUGUUCUUAUCCA
Brassica napus (rape) is the source of this 2528-nucleotide long non-coding RNA. RefSeq lists it as uncharacterized. NCBI's taxonomy places the organism in Eukaryota, Viridiplantae, Streptophyta, Magnoliopsida, Brassicales, Brassicaceae. The transcript is spliced from 4 exons. The record is from RefSeq and is a predicted model, not a curated record.